Molecule: RNase P RNA, 433 nt
Filed under: Acidobacteriaceae bacterium
Lineage: Bacteria; Pseudomonadati; Acidobacteriota; Terriglobia; Terriglobales; Acidobacteriaceae
Description: RNase P RNA component class A
Rfam family: Bacterial RNase P class A
About the family: Ribonuclease P (RNase P) is a ubiquitous endoribonuclease, found in archaea, bacteria and eukarya as well as chloroplasts and mitochondria. Its best characterised activity is the generation of mature 5'-ends of tRNAs by cleaving the 5'-leader elements of precursor-tRNAs.
Source: RNAcentral
GCAGGCGGCCGGAUGAUCGCUGCUCCUCGCGCUUCGGUGUCGAGGAGGGGAGGAAAGUCCGAACUCCGCAGGGCAGUGUGCCGGAUAACGUCCGGGACGCGAGCGUGAAGGCUCGUGGACGGCAAGUGCAACAGAAAGCAAACCGCCAUCUUGUGCAAACAAGAGGGUAAGGGUGAAAGGGUGGGGUAAGAGCCCACCGCGUCGGCAGUAAUGCAGGCGGCACGGUAAACCCCACACGGAGCAAGACCAAAUAGGCAGGGAGAUCGAGGCCACUCUUCAAGGCGCGAUCACGUGGCGGCCCGUCACGUCCAGGCGAAGAGACGUCGCAAGACGAGCCGGAACCUGCGGGUAGGUUGCUUGAGCCAGUCAGUAAUGGCUGGCCUAGAGGAAUGAUCGUCUAAAACAAAAUUCGGCUUACGGGCCGCCUGCACAG